GGAGGGUCUCUGCCCGCACCCGGGGGAGGCCCGAUCGACCCCCAACCCCCCUGUUGACCGUACCACGUUGCUUCCGGCGGGGAUGCCCGCCGGGAGAGUCUCCGUUUUAACCGCUGUUCUCCCUGAGUGCUGUCUGAGUCGGGUUCAUAGUGAAUCGGCAUGAACGAAACAAAACUUUCAACAAUGGAUCUCUUGGUUCCGGCAUCGAUGAAGAACGCAGCGAAAUGUGAUAAGUAAUGUGAAUUGCAGAAUUCCGUGAAUCAUCGAAUCUUUGAACGCAUAUUGCGCUCUUUGGCAGUCCAGAGAGCAUGCCUGUCCGAGCGUCAGUGUCCGUAUCUCCAGGCUUCCCCGGGAGGGGAGGGGCCGGGGUGUUGGGUUGUGCCGUCCUCGGGUUGUGGAGGAUGGGCCUCAAACAGAGUGGCAGUACCGUGUCCGGUCCUGGAGCAUGAUGGGGCGUUCGUCACCGGCUCUGGAGGACCGGAUCCGGUUGCUGGCCGGGCCGUUUCCAUUCAUCGAGUUGACCUCGGAUCAGGCAGGGGUACCCGCUGAACUUAAGCAUAUCA
RNAcentral lists this ribosomal RNA (563 nucleotides) under Elaphomyces citrinus. RNAcentral's name for it is "eukaryotic LSU rRNA". The stretch from base 173 to 326 matches the Rfam family "5.8S ribosomal RNA". Lineage: Eukaryota; Fungi; Ascomycota; Eurotiomycetes; Eurotiales; Elaphomycetaceae. The record is from RNAcentral.